RNAcentral lists this long non-coding RNA (207 nucleotides) under Gossypium barbadense (sea-island cotton). RNAcentral describes it as "long non-coding RNA (GBAR_LNC008004)". Lineage: Eukaryota; Viridiplantae; Streptophyta; Magnoliopsida; Malvales; Malvaceae. The record is from RNAcentral.
ACGUGUCACAUUGAAGUUUUUAAGAAAACCCAUGCCUCUUUCAACGUCCUUCUUAGUGUUUUAAAAGAUAGUCUUUGCUAAGUUAAUAAAGUGAAUGGAAGCUGUGCACCAGGUAGGUAUCCGAAACAGAGGAGGUGAGCCAUGAAGGCUGCUUAAGUACCAAGCUCUUGAUUGGAUCCAAUCCUAGACAUGCCCACAACCAUUGCC